UUCAUUUUAUGUAAUGUUUGAUGAUCAUCCUGUGCAUUAAUUAAAACGUACACAAUAAAUCCCUUUUUUUUAUUUUUUUUAUGAGAGUUGGUUGUGUGUAGAAAUAUUAAAUUUUGCACCUCCAAAAUUGAAGACUAGGUAUUGUAUUUAUCUGAUUGGCAACGGGUGGCCACAAUCGAAACAACAGGUAUGGAAACAGAGCACGUGGUCCUCUCAUGCCAAUUUUAUGAUCAUUAUGCAAUAGUCUGCAGUUACCAUGUUGCUCGGCCCCAUAUAAUACACGUACGACAAAUUUAUUAUUCAUUUUUCUAAAUUCUUUUGCUUUUAUGCAAAUAUACUACUACUAUUAUUUUAGAAAAGUGUCAAAAUGAAUGAAUAUAUUACCAAAAAUUGUAAGUUUUAGGGAGAAGUUUACUAUUAAUAAAUAGUCUGUAAUGAUAGAAAUAUUAUAGGUUAAUUUAUUAUUCAUUAAGAGUGUGUUCUAUGUGGUUCUAAAUAUAUCAUUAGAAAAAAUGAGAAAUAAUCAAAAUUUCACCCUUUAAAUCCUUCCUUUGUUUUUUUCAUUUCCUAUUUGAUCCGUACUCAUUCCUCCUUUUCACUACACAUGAGGGAUAUAUAAUAUUAUCACACCAAAAUUGGAGAAAUAAUAUUAUCCCUCCUUUGUAGUGAAAAAGAGGAGGAUCAAGUAGGAAAUGUCCCUUAUAAUAUUAUUACUAAUGUAGCUUAGUUUUGAAAAAUAGCCUUUGCUUGAAAAUUAUGUUUCAGUUUCAAAUAAAAGUUAAUUUAUUCAUAUAACUUGUUAAGAACUAUAAAAUUUUUCUCAAGAGUGAGUGGAUGAUAUAGUUAAAAAUAGUGUAGUGAAUUUUACAUUCUUUUCAAAUCGUUAUGAAACGCAAAAGAAGAUGACCGUUACCUAUUCAAGAUGGGGAGGUAAUAUUCAUUAAUACCGUUAUGUAUAGGAAUGUGUGCAUUUAUUAUUUAAUACUAUUGUUUUAUCUAAUAAACUUAUUAGAUGCGGCAUAUUCAAUAUUCUAGAAUGCACCACACAAUUUAGAUAUAAAUGUAUGAGCACCGGUGCACGUGCAAGUGGUAAAUCGCUCAUAGAAUUAAUAGUUGAUGGAUAGGCCAAUCAUACAAUAAUUAAUCUAAUUUAUCUCAAGUUAAGUGAUACAAGUAACCUAGCUAACAAUAAUUGAUCUCAUACAACUGUUACCUAGCCUACUUGUAUCACAUAUCAAUCAACAGUUUGAUAAGGAACAUAAAUAUUUUUGUGGUACUUGCUGCUAGCCUGUAUGGAUUAAUACUUUAUUGCUGCUGUAUGGAUUUUUUUUUUGAGAGCCAAAGGAAACUUUCAUAAAAAUUACGGAUAGUUCACAUCAGGAGGAAGCUUCCUGGACCCUAGCAGAGAAAAAAGGCAAAGCANUACAUAAACUUAUUAGAUGCGGCAUAUUCAAUAUUCUAGAAUGCACCACACAAUUUAGAGAUAAAUGUAUGAGCACCGGUGCACGUGCAAGUGGUAAAUCGCUCAUAGAAUUAAUAGUUGAUGGAUAGGCCAAUCAUACAAUAAUUAAUCUAAUUUAUCUCAAGUUAAGUGAUACAAGUAGCCUAGCUAACAAUAAUUGAUCUCAUACAACUGUUACCUAGCCUACUAGUAUCACAUAUGACAUAUCCAUCAACAGUUUGAUAAGGAACAUAAAUAUUUUUGUGGUACUUGCUGCUAGCCUGUAUGGAUUAAUACUUUAUUGCUGCUGUAUGGAUUAAUGAUGUGAAGAAACUAGAUGUUUUCUAUGAUAGGUACAAUAAAAAAAAUAUAGGAAAGUAAUAAAUGUCUACAAAAAUACCACACACACAACAUCUUGUAUAAUUUGAAAUGCAUUUUACUGUACUCUAUUUCCGUAUUAUGUAUAUAUAUUAUGACGUAUAUUUAAUAAAUAUACACUUAUUAUAUAUAUAUUUAAUAAUAUUGAAACAAGAUACGCAAUGGAAUCCAAACAUUAUUGAAACAAACUAACAAGCUCGAAGCGGCUUCCCACAGAGGCAGUCAUUGUAGGCAAACGACGACGCUUCGAGAUGAUCGAACGGAGAGCCCGCCGGUAUGGGCCCACAGAGAUGGUUAUGGCU
This 2121-nucleotide long non-coding RNA is filed under the name Salvia miltiorrhiza (redroot sage). RNAcentral's name for it is "long non-coding RNA (SMIL_LNC005684)". Lineage: Eukaryota; Viridiplantae; Streptophyta; Magnoliopsida; Lamiales; Lamiaceae. The record is from RNAcentral.